RNAcentral lists this ribosomal RNA (460 nucleotides) under uncultured bacterium. RNAcentral's name for it is "partial 16S ribosomal RNA". It matches the Rfam family "Bacterial small subunit ribosomal RNA", at positions 338 to 795 of the family's 1533-position model. The record is from RNAcentral.
CCUACGGGUGGCUGCAGUGAGGAAUAUUGGUCAAUGGACGAGAGUCUGAACCAGCCAAGUAGCGUGAAGGAUGACUGCCCUAUGGGUUGUAAACUUCUUUUAUAAAGGAAUAAAACGAGGCACGUGUGCCUUUUUGCAUGUACUUUAUGAAUAAGGAUCGGCUAACUCCGUGCCAGCAGCCGCGGUAAUACGGAGGAUCCGAGCGUUAUCCGGAUUUAUUGGGUUUAAAGGGAGCGUAGAUGGGUUGUUAAGUCAGUUGUGAAAGUUUGCGGCUCAACCGUAAAAUUGCAAUUGAUACUGGCAGUCUUGAGUACAGUUGAGGUAGGCGGAAUUCGUGGUGUAGCGGUGAAAUGCUUAGAUAUCACGAAGAACCCCGAUUGCGAAGGCAGCUUACUAAACUGUGACUGACAUUGAUGCUCGAAAGUGUGGGUAUCAAACAGGAUUAGAUACCCUUGUAGUC